RNAcentral lists this non-coding RNA (84 nucleotides) under uncultured eukaryote. The record is from RNAcentral.
CGUAAGAACACCAAUAAAAGAAUAAAAUAAUAAAGGAAUAAAAGAAUGCCCUCCUAUGGCACAUUUUGUUUAUCUGCGUUUUUU